CCUAGUGGAGACAGCAGUGAGGAAUAUUGGUCAAUGGACGAAAGGCUGAACCAGCCAAGUCGCGUGAAGGAUGCAGGAUCUAUGGUUUGUAAACUUCUUUUAUAGGGGAAUAAAGGUAUCCACGGGUGGAUAUUUGCAUGUACCCUAUGAAUAAGCAUCGGCUAACGCCGUGACAGCAGCCGCGGUAAUACGGAGGAUGCGAGCGUUAUCCGGAUUUAUGGGGUUUAAAGGGUGCGUAGGUUGUUUUUUAAGUCAUCGGUGAAAGUUGGUGGCUCAACAAUAAAAUUGCCGUUGAAACUGGGAGACUUGAGUGUGUUUGAGGUAGGCGGAAUGCGUGGUGUAGCGGUGAAAUGUAUAGAUAUCACGCAGAACUCCGAUUGCGAAGGCAGCUUACUAAGCCAUAACUGACACUGAAGCACGAAAGCGUGGGGAUCAAACAGGAUUAGAUACCCCUGUAGUC
RNAcentral lists this ribosomal RNA (460 nucleotides) under uncultured bacterium. Its description in RNAcentral is "partial 16S ribosomal RNA". It matches the Rfam family "Bacterial small subunit ribosomal RNA", at positions 338 to 795 of the family's 1533-position model. The record is from RNAcentral.